AACGAACGCUGGCGGCAUGCCUAACACAUGCAAGUCGAACGAGACCUUCGGGUCUAUUGGCGCACGGGUGCGUAACGCGUGGGAACCUGCCCUUAGGUUCGGAAUAACUCCCCGAAAGGGGUGCUAAUACCGGAUAAUGUCUUCGGACCAAAGAUUUAUCGCCUUUGGAUGGGCCCGCGUUGGAUUAGCUAGUUGGUAGGGUAAAAGCCUACCAAGGCGACGAUCCAUAGCUGGUCUGAGAGGAUGAUCAGCCACACUGGGACUGAGACACGGCCCAGACUCCUACGGGAGGCAGCAGUGGGGAAUAUUGGACAAUGGGCGAAAGCCUGAUCAAGCAAUGCGGCGUGAGUGAGGAAGGCCUUAGGGUUGUAAAGCUCUUUUACCCGGGAUGAUAAUGACAGUACCGGGAGAAUAAGCUCCGGCUAACUACGUG
This 433-nucleotide ribosomal RNA is filed under the name uncultured bacterium. RNAcentral describes it as "partial 16S ribosomal RNA". It matches the Rfam family "Bacterial small subunit ribosomal RNA", at positions 29 to 507 of the family's 1533-position model. The record is from RNAcentral.